This 21-nucleotide non-coding RNA is filed under the name Callorhinchus milii (elephant shark). RNAcentral also lists the same sequence under 29 other names. Lineage: Eukaryota; Metazoa; Chordata; Chondrichthyes; Chimaeriformes; Callorhinchidae. The record is from RNAcentral.
AUCACAUUGCCAGGGAUUACC